GACGAACGCUGGCGGCGUGCUUAACACAUGCAAGUCGAGCGGUAAGGCCUUUCGGGGUACACGAGCGGCGAACGGGUGAGUAACACGUGGGUGAUCUGCCCUGCACUUCGGGAUAAGCCUGGGAAACUGGGUCUAAUACCGGAUAUGACCUCCUAUCGCAUGGUGGGUGGUGGAAAGAUUUAUCGGUGCAGGAUGGGCCCGCGGCCUAUCAGCUUGUUGGUGGGGUAAUGGCCUACCAAGGCGACGACGGGUAGCCGACCUGAGAGGGUGACCGGCCACACUGGGACUGAGACACGUCCCAGACUCCUACGGGAGGCAGCAGUGGGGAAUAUUGCACAAUGGGCGAAAGCCUGAUGCAGCGACGCCGCGUGAGGGAUGACGGCCUUCGGGUUGUAAACCUCUUUCAGCAGGGACGAAGCGCAAGUGACGGUACCUGCAGAAGAAGCACCGGCUAACUACGUG
Molecule: ribosomal RNA, 462 nt
Filed under: uncultured bacterium
Lineage: Bacteria
Description: partial 16S ribosomal RNA
Rfam family: Bacterial small subunit ribosomal RNA
Source: RNAcentral